This 163-nucleotide ribosomal RNA is filed under the name Cucumis sativus (cucumber). RNAcentral describes it as "5.8S ribosomal RNA". It matches the Rfam family "5.8S ribosomal RNA". Rfam says of the family: 5.8S ribosomal RNA (5.8S rRNA) is a component of the large subunit of the eukaryotic ribosome. The record is from RNAcentral. Lineage: Eukaryota; Viridiplantae; Streptophyta; Magnoliopsida; Cucurbitales; Cucurbitaceae. RNAcentral also lists the same sequence under 2 other names.
GAACGACUCUCGGCAACGGAUAUCUCGGCUCUCGCAUCGAUGAAGAACGUAGCGAAAUGCGAUACUUGGUGUGAAUUGCAGGAUCCCGUGAACCACCGAGUCUUUGAACGCAAGUUGCGCCCGGAGCCUUCUGGCCGAGGGCACGUCUGCCUGGGCGUCACGC